This 497-nucleotide ribosomal RNA is filed under the name uncultured bacterium. Its description in RNAcentral is "partial 16S ribosomal RNA". It matches the Rfam family "Bacterial small subunit ribosomal RNA", at positions 28 to 507 of the family's 1533-position model. The record is from RNAcentral.
GAUGAACGCUGGCGGCGUGCCUAAUACAUGCAAGUCGAGCGAACAGACGAGGAGCUUUCUCCUCUGACGUUAGCGGCGGACGGGUGAGUAACACGUGGAUAACCUACCUAUAAGACUGGGAUAACUUCGGGAAACCGGAGCUAAUACCGGAUAAUAUAUUGAACCGCAUGGUUCAAUAGUGAAAGACGGUUUUGCUGUCACUUAUAGAUGGAUCCGCGCCGCAUUAGCUAGUUGGUAAGGUAACGGCUUACCAAGGCAACGAUGCGUAGCCGACCUGAGAGGGUGCUAGGCCACACUGGAACUGAGACACGGUCCAGACUCCUACGGGAGGCAGCAGUAGGGAAUCCUCCGCAAUGGGCGAAAGCUUGACGGAGCAACGCCGCGUGAGUGAUGAAGGUCUUCGGAUCGUAAAACUCUGUUAUUAGGGAAGAACAAAUGUGUAAGUAACUAUGCACGUCUUGACGGUACCUAAUCAGAAAGCCACGGCUAACUACGUG